This 462-nucleotide ribosomal RNA is filed under the name uncultured ciliate. RNAcentral describes it as "bacterial SSU rRNA". It matches the Rfam family "Eukaryotic small subunit ribosomal RNA". The record is from RNAcentral. Lineage: Eukaryota; Ciliophora.
GUCUGGUUAAUUCCGAUAACGAACGAGACCUUAGCCUGCUAACUAGUCCAGCCCAUUUUAUGGGCUUCGACUUCUUAGAGGGACUAUGCAUUCAAGUGCAUGGAAGUUUGAGGCAAUAACAGGUCUGUGAUGCCCUUAUAUGUCCUGGGCUGCACGCGUGCUACACUGAUGCAUACAGCAAGUGCCUAGCUCGCUAGAGUAUGGCAAUCUCGAAUAUGCAUCGUGAUGGGGAUAGAUCUUUGCAAUUAUAGAUCUUGAACGAGGAAUUCCUAGUAAAUGCAAGUCAUCAUCUUGCAUUGAUUAUGUCCCUGCCCUUUGUACACACCGCCCGUCGCUCCUACCGAUACCGGGUGGUCCGGUGAAUUUUCCAGACUGCUCACGCGGAAAAGAAAAUAAACCAUAUCACCUAGAGGAAGGAGAAGUCGUAACAAGGUUUCCGUAGGUGAACCUGCRGAAGGAUCA